RNAcentral lists this ribosomal RNA (786 nucleotides) under uncultured bacterium. RNAcentral describes it as "bacterial SSU rRNA". It matches the Rfam family "Bacterial small subunit ribosomal RNA", at positions 8 to 796 of the family's 1533-position model. The record is from RNAcentral.
AGAGUUUGAUCCUGGCUCAGAACGAACGCUGGCGGCGUGCUUAACACAUGCAAGUCGAGUGCGCGCCUGUAGCAAUACAGGUGGCGCACGGCGCACGGGUGCGUAACACGUGGGUAAUCUGCCCUCUGAUGGGGAAUAACUCGCCGAAAGGCGAGCUAAUUCCGCAUAACAUUCCGAGGACCUUGGUUCUUGGACUCAAAGGCGUAAGUCGUCGGAGGAGGAGCCCGCGCACGAUUAGCUAGUUGGUGAGGUAAUGGCUCACCAAGGCUAUGAUCGUUAGCUGGUCUGAGAGGAUGGCCAGCCACACUGGAACUGAGACACGGUCCAGACUCCUACGGGAGGCAGCAGUGGGGAAUCUUGCACAAUGGGCGAAAGCCUGAUGCAGCGACGCCGCGUGGGGGAUGAAGCUUCUCGGAGUGUAAACCCCUUUCGACCCGGACGAAUACCUCGCAAGAGGGGUGACGGUACGGGUAUAAGAAGCCCCGGCUAACUACGUGCCAGCAGCCGCGGUAAGACGUAGGGGGCCAGCGUUGUUCGGAAUUACUGGGUGUAAAGGGUUCGUAGGCGGUGUGGCAAGUCGGGAGUGAAAUCUCUGGGCUCAACUCAGAGUCUGCUUCCGAAACUGCUGUGCUUGAGUGUGGGAGAGGCGCGUGGAAUUGCAGGUGUAGCGGUGAAAUGCGUAGAUAUCUGCAGGAACACCCGUGGCGAAAGCGGCGCGCUGGACCACUACUGACGCUGAGGAACGAAAGCUAGGGGAGCAAACAGGAUUAGAUACCCUAGUAGUCC